This is a long non-coding RNA of Syngnathus acus (greater pipefish), 359 nucleotides long. RefSeq lists it as uncharacterized. The transcript is spliced from 2 exons. The record is from RefSeq and is a predicted model, not a curated record. NCBI's taxonomy places the organism in Eukaryota, Metazoa, Chordata, Actinopteri, Syngnathiformes, Syngnathidae.
CCUAUUUUGAAUUCUUUCUCUGUCAUUUGCCGAGUAGAAAAAGAUUCUGCAGUGCAAAGUUAUAUUUAAAAGCCAUUUUAUACUAUUUUCAUAUAUAUACUAUAAAAUGCCUUGUUAAUUUUGAGUUACUUUCAUCUCAACAACUGUGGAAGUGUGAAAGUCAAGAACGAAAUAGAAUUUUAUAUUGUUAUUCACAUAACAUGUGAUUGCCUGGUGCUUAUGUGCUAAGGUAAAUGUGUAAAUAUGUGCAGUGGGUAAACAGUACUGCCCGUUGAUUGCAUGAAUAGUGGCUUAAAAAGUUGCUCAAUGACUCUACUGCUAGAAGUUGACACUUAAACCAAAAUCCAAUCUAGAGCAGA